AAGGAAGGCUGCUGGUUCACUUUCAAGGUGGAGAACAAUGGGCAAAAUCCUGGUUGGAUAUUACACUCCCUGCCUCAUGCUUCCUUGCAUUCAUUCUGAAGAAGUCUUACUGGAUCUCUCCCAUUAGUGACUUUCCCCAAAGCCGCUGCCAGCCGACACUGAAAACCCAAGAAGAAGUGAUCACUGCAAUGAGUCUAUGAGCAUCAGAAAGCCAACUUGGGGCAUGGCUGUGGAUAAAGUAACAGAGCCAUAUCUCCUGAAAAUACUGGCACUCUUCUCACUGAGAAUGUGGCGAUGGGGAGUUGGUGGCAUCGACCCAGCCUGUCAACAUUUCCUAGCUGAAUCCAUGCCCAGGAGAGCAGAAGAUGUUUGUGGCAUUUCAAAGCACUAUCCACUGACAGGAUCCAUGAGCACAAGAUAAAGUCAAGGAAUCCACUCAGGAUGCGGUUUGUUUGACACUCACCUGACCAUCGUUCUCAGGAACCAAGGCCUGUUGAUGAUGGAAGGCACUGCCUCGUCCAUGAGUGGAUGUGUCUUAAUGAAGUUCAGGGUAUCAUCAGGAAACUCAUUGGAGGUUGCAUAUUUUUCUAAAGAGGAUGAUCCCGCACAACAGCCUGGCCUAAAAGGAAACAAGGGGUGGAGGGGGAAGAGUUAUUUCAUGCCUUCUGGCAAAUUCUUUGAAUGAACUGCGUCUCUGAGCAUCUGGCAUGAAGGAGACUGGAUACCACAGGCACAAGAUAAGGAUGUUGAACAAUGCAGAAUGCCACCAAGUACAACAUGCUGAGAUUUCCUCUGGACCGCCUCCUCAUUCCGUGAGGGAGCCUUAGCCAGCAAAGCUCAGUUUCAUCUCUAGGAAAAUUGGCCUCCUUCCAGAUGCACAAACAAACCCCAGUGAACAGAGAUGGAACUGGAAAUGAGAUUGUGUGGGGACAUGUCUCUCAGGGAUGCGUUACUAUCUGUCAACUUAACACGAACCUAGUCAUACCUGGGAAAAAAAGAACCUCAACUGAGACAUUGCCUCCAACACACAGGCCGGUGGGCUGGUCUGUGAGCCAUGUUCUUAACUGGUAAUUGAUGUAAGAAGGCUCUGCCCACUGUGGGUAUUACUAUCUCCCUGAAAGGGAGCCUGGGCUGUACAAGAAAGGUGGCUGAUCAAUCUAGGAAGGACACUAGAGGAGGCAAGCCAGGAAUCAGUGUGCCUUGUGGUUUCUGGGUCAAGUUUCCACCUUAGCGUCUCUUGAUGAUAGACUGUACCAAAUUCUCUGUAAGUUGUUUUUUGUCUUGGUGUUUAUCACAACAACAGAAAGCAAACUGGGAUAUAUUGUUAGAGGUUUGAGAGCAGUGGUCCUCAACCUUCCUAAUGCUGUGACCGUUUAAUGCAGUUCCUUAUGUUAUUGUGAACCUCCCCCAACAUAAAAUUAUUUUGUUACUACUUCAUAAUUGUAAUUUUGCUACUGUUAUGAAUCUUAAUAUAAACGUCUGUGUUUUCUGA
Long non-coding RNA from Mastomys coucha (southern multimammate mouse), 1492 nucleotides. RefSeq lists it as uncharacterized. The transcript has 4 exons. NCBI's taxonomy places the organism in Eukaryota, Metazoa, Chordata, Mammalia, Rodentia, Muridae. The record is from RefSeq and is a predicted model, not a curated record.